This 2927-nucleotide ribosomal RNA is filed under the name Escherichia coli. Its description in RNAcentral is "23S ribosomal RNA". It matches the Rfam family "Bacterial large subunit ribosomal RNA". The record is from RNAcentral. Lineage: Bacteria; Pseudomonadati; Pseudomonadota; Gammaproteobacteria; Enterobacterales; Enterobacteriaceae.
GGGUUGUGAGGUUAAGCGACUAAGCGUACACGGUGGAUGCCCUGGCAGUCAGAGGCGAUGAAGGACGUGCUAAUCUGCGAUAAGCGUCGGUAAGGUGAUAUGAACCGUUAUAACCGGCGAUUUCCGAAUGGGGAAACCCAGUGUGAUUCGUCACACUAUCAUUAACUGAAUCCAUAGGUUAAUGAGGCGAACCGGGGGAACUGAAACAUCUAAGUACCCCGAGGAAAAGAAAUCAACCGAGAUUCCCCCAGUAGCGGCGAGCGAACGGGGAGCAGCCCAGAGCCUGAAUCAGUGUGUGUGUUAGUGGAAGCGUCUGGAAAGGCGCGCGAUACAGGGUGACAGCCCCGUACACAAAAAUGCACAUGCUGUGAGCUCGAUGAGUAGGGCGGGACACGUGGUAUCCUGUCUGAAUAUGGGGGGACCAUCCUCCAAGGCUAAAUACUCCUGACUGACCGAUAGUGAACCAGUACCGUGAGGGAAAGGCGAAAAGAACCCCGGCGAGGGGAGUGAAAAAGAACCUGAAACCGUGUACGUACAAGCAGUGGGAGCACAGAGCAAUCUGUGUGACUGCGUACCUUUUGUAUAAUGGGUCAGCGACUUAUAUUCUGUAGCAAGGUUAACCGAAUAGGGGAGCCGAAGGGAAACCGAGUCUUAACUGGGCGUUAAGUUGCAGGGUAUAGACCCGAAACCCGGUGAUCUAGCCAUGGGCAGGUUGAAGGUUGGGUAACACUAACUGGAGGACCGAACCGACUAAUGUUGAAAAAUUAGCGGAUGACUUGUGGCUGGGGGUGAAAGGCCAAUCAAACCGGGAGAUAGCUGGUUCUCCCCGAAAGCUAUUUAGGUAGCGCCUCGUGAAUUCAUCUCCGGGGGUAGAGCACUGUUUCGGCAAGGGGGUCAUCCCGACUUACCAACCCGAUGCAAACUGCGAAUACCGGAGAAUGUUAUCACGGGAGACACACGGCGGGUGCUAACGUCCGUCGUGAAGAGGGAAACAACCCAGACCGCCAGCUAAGGUCCCAAAGUCAUGGUUAAGUGGGAAACGAUGUGGGAAGGCCCAGACAGCCAGGAUGUUGGCUUAGAAGCAGCCAUCAUUUAAAGAAAGCGUAAUAGCUCACUGGUCGAGUCGGCCUGCGCGGAAGAUGUAACGGGGCUAAACCAUGCACCGAAGCUGCGGCAGCGACGCUUAUGCGUUGUUGGGUAGGGGAGCGUUCUGUAAGCCUGUGAAGGUGUACUGUGAGGUAUGCUGGAGGUAUCAGAAGUGCGAAUGCUGACAUAAGUAACGAUAAAGCGGGUGAAAAGCCCGCUCGCCGGAAGACCAAGGGUUCCUGUCCAACGUUAAUCGGGGCAGGGUGAGUCGACCCCUAAGGCGAGGCCGAAAGGCGUAGUCGAUGGGAAACAGGUUAAUAUUCCUGUACUUGGUGUUACUGCGAAGGGGGGACGGAGAAGGCUAUGUUGGCCGGGCGACGGUUGUCCCGGUUUAAGCGUGUAGGCUGGUUUUCUAGGCAAAUCCGGAAAAUCAAGGCUGAGGCGUGAUGACGAGGCACUACGGUGCUGAAGCAACAAAUGCCCUGCUUCCAGGAAAAGCCUCUAAGCAUCAGGUAACAUCAAAUCGUACCCCAAACCGACACAGGUGGUCAGGUAGAGAAUACCAAGGCGCUUGAGAGAACUCGGGUGAAGGAACUAGGCAAAAUGGUGCCGUAACUUCGGGAGAAGGCACGCUGAUAUGUAGGUGAAGUCCCUCGCGGAUGGAGCUGAAAUCAGUCGAAGAUACCAGCUGGCUGCAACUGUUUAUUAAAAACACAGCACUGUGCAAACACGAAAGUGGACGUAUACGGUGUGACGCCUGCCCGGUGCCGGAAGGUUAAUUGAUGGGGUUAGCGCAAGCGAAGCUCUUGAUCGAAGCCCCGGUAAACGGCGGCCGUAACUAUAACGGUCCUAAGGUAGCGAAAUUCCUUGUCGGGUAAGUUCCGACCUGCACGAAUGGCGUAAUGAUGGCCAGGCUGUCUCCACCCGAGACUCAGUGAAAUUGAACUCGCUGUGAAGAUGCAGUGUACCCGCGGCAAGACGGAAAGACCCCGUGAACCUUUACUAUAGCUUGACACUGAACAUUGAGCCUUGAUGUGUAGGAUAGGUGGGAGGCUUUGAAGUGUGGACGCCAGUCUGCAUGGAGCCGACCUUGAAAUACCACCCUUUAAUGUUUGAUGUUCUAACGUUGACCCGUAAUCCGGGUUGCGGACAGUGUCUGGUGGGUAGUUUGACUGGGGCGGUCUCCUCCUAAAGAGUAACGGAGGAGCACGAAGGUUGGCUAAUCCUGGUCGGACAUCAGGAGGUUAGUGCAAUGGCAUAAGCCAGCUUGACUGCGAGCGUGACGGCGCGAGCAGGUGCGAAAGCAGGUCAUAGUGAUCCGGUGGUUCUGAAUGGAAGGGCCAUCGCUCAACGGAUAAAAGGUACUCCGGGGAUAACAGGCUGAUACCGCCCAAGAGUUCAUAUCGACGGCGGUGUUUGGCACCUCGAUGUCGGCUCAUCACAUCCUGGGGCUGAAGUAGGUCCCAAGGGUAUGGCUGUUCGCCAUUUAAAGUGGUACGCGAGCUGGGUUUAGAACGUCGUGAGACAGUUCGGUCCCUAUCUGCCGUGGGCGCUGGAGAAUUGAGGGGGGCUGCUCCUAGUACGAGAGGACCGGAGUGGACGCAUCACUGGUGUUCGGGUUGUCAUGCCAAUGGCACUGCCCGGUAGCUAAAUGCGGAAGAGAUAAGUGCUGAAAGCAUCUAAGCACGAAACUUGCCCCGAGAUGAGUUCUCCCUGACUCCUUGAGAGUCCUGAAGGAACGUUGAAGACGACGACGUUGAUAGGCCGGGUGUGUAAGCGCAGCGAUGCGUUGAGCUAACCGGUACUAAUGAACCGUGAGGCUUAACCUUACAACGCCGAAG